AACGAACGCUGGCGGCAUGCCUAACACAUGCAAGUCGAACGAGACCUUCGGGUCUAGUGGCGCACGGGUGCGUAACGCGUGGGAACCUGCCCUUAGGUUCGGAAUAACUCCCCGAAAGGGGUGCUAAUACCGGAUAAUGUCUUCGGACCAAAGAUUUAUCGCCUUUGGAUGGGCCCGCGUUGGAUUAGCUAGUUGGUAGGGUAAAAGCCUACCAAGGCGACGAUCCAUAGCUGGUCUGAGAGGAUGAUCAGCCACACUGGGACUGAGACACGGCCCAGACUCCUACGGGAGGCAGCAGUGGGGAAUAUUGGACACUGGGCGAAAGCCUGAUCCAGCAAUGCCGCGUGAGUGAUGAAGGCCUUAGGGUUGUAAAGCUCUUUUACCCGGGAUGAUAAUGACAGUACCGGGAGAAUAAGCUCCGGCGAACUCCGU
This 432-nucleotide ribosomal RNA is filed under the name uncultured bacterium. RNAcentral's name for it is "partial 16S ribosomal RNA". It matches the Rfam family "Bacterial small subunit ribosomal RNA", at positions 29 to 506 of the family's 1533-position model. The record is from RNAcentral.